CCCGGCGCUCGGGGCAGGGCGUGAGGGAGUCUGCUCUUCUGAAAGGCAGUGGCGGUGCCGUGUGGGCUGAGGGGUUGUGCGGCGCCCAGGGUAUUGGAGCUACGAAGCUCGUCAAGGGUCUGGAGAAUCUCACUUGUGAGAAAAGAGGGAGAUGGGCCUGAUCGGGAAGAAGUGACUGAGAUGGGAUCUCAUCAAUGUCUAUCACUAUCUAAAGGGAGUUGUCAGAGGGUGGAUCAGGCUCUGCUCGGUAGUGCCUCCCAGUAGGCAAAGGGCAGAAACUGAUGCCCAGGAGCUUCCACCUGAACAUGAGGAAGAAUUCCUGUCCUGUGCAGUGGCCGGGCACUGAAACAGGUUUCCCAGAGAGGAUGUGGAGUCUCCCUCACCGGAGAUACUCCGGAACUGUCUGGGCAAAAUCCUGUGCUUCACCACUGUGGUGCCUUCCGACCUGACGGGUUCUGUGACUGUGUCCCUCCACUGUUUGGGGGACACGGUUCUCCACAGCCACACUGUGAGGGCAGAGAGCUGGGUGCCAGGCUGGGUGCAGUGGGAGAGGGGGCACAGCGACACCUUUGGCUGCCUCAGAGAACCCUGAGGUAAAACCUGCUUUAAUCAUGCCCAGGAAAGUUGUGGCUGCCCCAUCCCUGGAACUGUUCAAGGCUAGGUUGGAUGGGGCUCUGAGCAACCUGGUCUAGUUGAAGAUGUCUCUGCCUGUUGCAGGGGGUUGAGGCUGGGUGAUUCUUAAGACUUCCUUCCAACCCAAAUCUUUCUUUGAUUUUGUCAGGCAUAAAUUCUGUUGGAUCUGGUGUCUGAGGGGCUUGUCCCUCUGCUAAAAUAAAAAUGGUGAAGGUAAUGGGAAAUAGUGAAGGUAAAAGAGAAAAUGACUUUCACAACUGCCUAAGUCUUCUUCCUCAGUGGGGAAAAGGUUUACAUGCCUUGUUAAUCUGUGCCACCCAUAUACUUAAGAACUCAAAAACAAAUAUUGCUUAUUUGUACUCUUAUUUAUUACUAAUAUAUUGUCAGAGUCACAGGUAUUUAUCAGGUGAUUGUGUCCUCUCCCUUCUUCAUUGUGCAAGGCCAUGGCAGCCAGCAAAUUAACAGUUUGACUUAUAUUAUGCUGUAAAAAUUUCAAGCUGCUCUCAGAAAUCAUUCUUUUUCACCCAUGCUGUGGUGGCUGAAAUACUCCUAAUGCAAGAAGUACCUCAAAGUGUGGAAGAUGGAAACAUUUCAGAAAGGUGUGGCCCUACCCAAAUAAAUGGCGUAACAGAACAGGGAAGGGGGAGCUGUACAAUGUGGGUCAGUGAGGGUCAACAAGGUAAGACUAUUCCCAGUCUGUAAUUUUAUUUUUUUUUUCAAGUAGUCUCCAAAGCUACAGGAGUAGUGUCCAGGAGAAAAGCAAAUUAUUAAGACUCCAGUUAUACAACAAUUAUGUAGUUUUUUGUUAUGUUAAAGUCGGUGCCUGAUCUGAGAUGUUUGGUCAUUCUACAGCCAAGAGAGAGAAGGGGACUUUCUACCAGCUUAAGAGGCUGGACAAUCACAUUGUGAUAAAACCGAACUAGUGGUUGUAGCGGUGAAGCCGGACUAGAGUCCUGUGUGUCUCUCUUGACUGGGGGCCCAGUUUAGAGCCUGCUGAUGUUAGGCUAAAUGAAUCCCAUCUUUCUCUUUUAUUCUUGACUCUGGCAACAACUUGGUACAGGAUCAUAUGCCUGCCCUGUGUAACAACUCUUACACAACAGCAGAGGAGAGGAAAGCUCCUUAUUUCAUCAAGGAGCAAAGUGGGAGUGGUGUCUCUUGCAUAUAGCAUGGACACCCCAGCUAAGGAGAGCAUCUCUGUUCUGUGAACAUUAAUUCAAGAAUAUACUUAAAGGCAAGCAGGUACUUUACAGAUUUUCAGUGUGGGAACAUCAAUACACAGAGGGAGAGUGCUUUGAGAUUCACCAAGAUAGAAUGUUAAAUAAUUUCAAUAUAUUAUUUUUACAAUGUAUUAUAUGCUAAUUCAACCUGCCUGAGCUAAAGUUCUCCUUACUAAGUAGGACGUCAUUCUGAGGAAGAUUCUACAGCUCCAGGGCUUUAUCAGCUCCACAGUGUUAUUUUCUUUAUUUCUUGAUUUACUCUCAUCACCUUGUAAUAUCAGGUGUAGUCUCACAUUAAAAAUGUGCCCUGUCAACGUUCUUCUACCCCAGGUGAGUCCAAAAGAGUUUUUUGUUCUUUUGAUUAUCAUUUGCAUGUUUUUUCCCCUCUUUCCUCAUUCUUCAGCAUUACUGAUUACUAAUAUUGGCACCAAGUUUAUUCUAGGAGACCAACUGUGUGUUGACACAUUCUGUCCUGAAGGUGGGGAAAUUUAUGGAGCACAGUUCCAAGUACACAGCCCAUUACUGUGUAUUAUAGAGAACUUCCCUCCUCUGCUGAGUGAAAACUUGUUAUACCAGUUUAAAAAUAUGUCAGGUAUGCAUCUCCUUCCUCCAGCAUUAAUCAUUAAUUAACAUGUGAUACUGACAUUUCUGGUUGCUACUUAAUGUAGCAAAACUGUAUUUUAUGUGCGUUUCUAAUUUCUUCUAUCAUCCUCCAGUAUCAGUGGAGGGUGACACAUCCAGCUGCCAGUGUCAGUACACUGGUAAUGCUGCCCAAAACAGAGCCACGAGAACAAGCCCAUGUUUAUAAAACUCCUCUUGCCAAUCUGACUCCUUUGCCUAGUGUUACAGGCCAAAAUUCACGUUUCUUCUCACAGAAUGUGCUUAUUGUAUUUGCUACUUCAAAUAGCUGAGUAGACACACUGAAUUAAGCAACUGUGAUCAAAGAGGAUCUUAUUCACCUGUUUUGGACUUUCUUCAAAAACAGUUUUCAUUUUGGCUUUUUUCUCUGUAUGUGUCCUGGAUUUGAUAAGAAUUGGUAGAACUCAGCAGUCAGAAAGAAAGCAUAGACUGAUGAGAAGCUAUCUGUUAUUUACUUGAAUUUCAGUAGGCUUAGAAAGCUCCAUGGUUAAAGUUCAGAGCCCCUUGUGUGAGGCAAGUGUAUGUAACAGGCAACAGAUAGAAAAAAUAGGGAAAUAUAUAUGUACUGAGAUAGGAGAUAACCAUGAAACAGAGUUUAGCCAAAGUGAAGGUCAGGUUACAUUUACAGUCAUUAUAGUUGACUUAGUGUUGUGAUAAACAUGGUAUUAUCAUGACUUGUUAUUUGCAUAAGAGUGGCCAUAGGAAACCUCCAGACAAGAGCAUGGCUUGUUGUACAAAGUACUGUGCCAACAGUAGGUCACUAUUAUUGUUUACACUCAGUAAUCCCACACAAAAUGUGUUCCAGAACUGAUUCAUACAACUUUUCCCCUUGAUUGACCACUUCCUUUUUUUGGCAGGGCACUUACAGCCAGAGCCAAAGAAAGGCUUCACAGCACUCCUUGCUUUUCAGUGCCCAGCUGGCAGAAUGCAUUUCCAAGCAAUGAAAUAAACUUACAGUAACCAAAACUUGGGGCUUUGCCUAUGACUCAAUAGCAGUCACAUAUCCCAGCCUAGAUGACACUGCUGCCUCCCUCCUGCCAACUCUGUGGCUUUUGUUUUGUGGUCAGGCAGGUUUGUGUAGUGAAACAGCUUAAAACAAACAAGACAAGAUUGAAAGCUCCUUCCCCAAGUUUGCUGAUGACACUAAACUGGGUGGUAAGGUGGACAUGUGAGAAGAGACAGCAGUCUUGCAGAGACACCUGGAAGGGCUGGAAGAGUGGACUAGCAAGAACUGUAUGAGGUUUAUUUAACAAGACAAGAGGCAAGGUCCUACACCUGGCACAACAUAAUCCAAGAACUCAUUAGAGGCCAGGCCAUACCUGGAGCACUGUGUUUGGUCCUGGUCUAUGCAAUUCAAGACAGUCAGAUUGGAGAGGGUCCAAAGAAGGGCUACCAAGAUGAUCAAAAGGCUGGAGAGCCCUAUGAAGAAAGACAGAACCAGUUAGGUCUUUCCUGCCUGGAGAAGACUUUGGGGAGACCUUAUCAGAAUAUUCCAGCAUUUAAAGGGUUGCUACAAAGAGAGUGGGGGCUGUCUCUUCUCAAGGAGCCACAUGGAGAAGACAAGUGGCAAUGAGUACAAAUUGCUCAAGGAGAGGUUUUAUCUGUAUAUAGUCACUCACAGGAACAAAAUCCCCAAGGAACCAGGUAGAGCUGGAGAUUUUCAAUAUGUGACUGAACAGGGUGCUACAUAAUCUUGUCAAGGCUCCCUUCUCCAUGAAAGACUGGACUUGAUGAUAUUUUGAGGUCACUUCCAGCUUGGGAUGUUCUAUGAUUCAGUGAUUAUUUCUGGGAGGUGCUCAUAUUUUUUUAAUGUCUUUUAUUUUGCCCAGGUGUUUUUGCAUUUGGUUUGGACUGAGUGCUGUGGGACAAAAACUUAAGUUGAGGGAGACAGAUCUGAAACCAGAUCCACUGCUGUAGGGACAGGAAUGUCUUUGAGCUGUAGAGAGCAACUUCCAUCCCUCUCCUGGGUGAUCAGGGUCCAUGUGUGGAGAGUGAGACAAGAGUUCGAACAGUCUGGUUGUUCAGAGACAACAGAGUCUUCUAGAUGGGCACUUUCUAACACAAGAUUGAGAUACCAUCACUUACUGUGAGAAACAGUCAAGAUAGAAUCUGUGGAGAGCAGAGGCAGUCAGUAUUUAUUUGGUACUCUUUAGGAACACUUUUAGCAUUUAGCCCUGUUUAUGACUAAGCCAGAAGAAUAUCUAAUUUCCAGGCAAUGUUAUAAAUUGUUAUAAAUUAAUUGAGAAAUGGCCCUGUGGCUGCUGUGGUUCUUUGCCUGUACAGAAGCAGAGCUGGAGGCAUUGUGAGCUGUAUUUAUUAACAUCUCUUCAGCCUUCCUUCUGCCCUCUGGAUAUGCAGAUUCCCUGCUGCCCCUUCCCUCUUCAGUACUUUAUCUCCUCCCCGCACUGCAGUGCUCACUAUCCCCAUUCCCUUCUGCUCCUCCACUAGCAUCCCCACCCCACCCCUGCUUCAGGACCUACCCUUGCUCCCCUGAACUCUCACUAAUGCCUCUGUGGUUUCUUACUGCUUCUCUCUCCAUGAAGCCAUGCCCCUUUUCCUUGUCUGAUUUCACAGGCAUACUAGUGAGUUGUCUAGGAAGUCAGACCUCAUUUCUCUCCUCUCCUUACUUCUGGUGUUAGUGCACCUCACCGGUGAGGCAAGAUUUGCAGGUAUGAGGAGAAGGCUGCAGAGGAAGAGGAAGUUCCCUAAUGAGUUGUGCUGCUUUCAGGCUUUGUCUGCAGUUCACCUGGGGGGAGAGAAAGGGGAGCUGGGGUGUAUUUUUGGCACUUUGUAUCUCACGUUCAUUUAAAUUCUAGUUUUGGCUCCUAAAUACUCUAUUAGAUCUAAUCAUUCAUCUUUUCCUUCAGUGCAAAUACUUCCCUUAUCCUGUGUUUUGUUUAGAGGGGGGUGGGACAGCUUUCUACUGGUGUUGCAGUAUCUGGUUAAAAGUGGCCUGAUUUUAAUAGCUGUUCCUUGGCUUCUGCUAUUUAAAACAUAUGUUUUCUGACAUUUAAUGAUAACUUUGUUCUCCCAUACGUCUCAAUGAGUAGAAACAACUGGUGAUUUUCCAGUGUGAAUGUUUUUGAAAUUAAUGCAACUUAUUUUCCUGUGGGGAAUGGAGACAUAUGUCAUUGAAUUGAAUUAAAUAUUAAUCGUAUUAUUUCCAAAGAAGAGAAGUGCAACUAGAAUCAAAGAAAUAUAGAAAAUUAUUUAUUCCAAGAGAAAAUAAAAUAUAUAUCCUUGGAAAUAAAUCUAUAUCUUUAAAUUGCUGUAGGGUUUUGUGGUUUGUGCUUUUUUUUCUCUUUCUUUUAUUUACCCUUUGUUUUUCUUUUUUCUUUAUUAUUUUUUUUUUUUAGUUUCUGGUUUGAUUUCUCUUAGAACUGAAAGUUAAUUCUUCUAAUGGUAUUCCAUUGGCCUGUGAUAUGUGCCUGGAUGAUCUUAAUUACAGUUCCCAAGGACAGGGUGUCCUGUGAUACAGCAAGCUGUAUUUUGCAUUUGAGAUGUAUUUUCUGUUUCAGUAGGACUGAAUGGUUUAUGGAGGAUGAGAGCAGGAUGGAGGGGUUCCCUGUAGAUCAUGUUUGAAGGAGGGACUUGCCAUUGUCAUUCAGGAUAUUCUGGAAAGGAAUUCUGGUGGGGCUGUGGACUCUGCCCAGGGUCAACUUCAAGUCAGUGGAACAAAUCCCAGUAAUUUGAUUAGGAGCUGAAUCAGGCAUUUACUAGAUCAGGAAAGGGGUUUAGACCUCUGUAGCAGAAUGUAGAUGGACUUUAGACAUUUAAAUUUCAUCUGAAAUCCAAACAGUCUCUGCUUAUCAGCCAUUGAAACCUGCUUCUGCCUUAUCACUUCAGGAGCCCCUCAGUUUUCCAUGGAAGUCCAGUGGCUGCAUGUGCUGUAUGAGGUGAACAGAAAACUUCAGCACAAACUUUACCUUGCCCAACAAAGUGGCUCACACAUUUUCCAUCCUCAGUGUCCCUCAAGCUCAGAGUGUCCACAGUGUGUUUGGGGACACUCAGGGAUAUUUACUUGUGAACCUGGGCUCUGUGAUUGUACCUCCAUAAAAACUGAAUUGAGGGAUACCAUUCAUGGUCCAGAAAGUGAAAGCAGAGAUAAAAGCUUCUACUAAGGUGCUACAACAAGAAGAUGAAAGGAGGAAAGAGGGAUGGAAAUCCCCACCUCCAGAUAUUCAAGGACAAAUCAUAUAUUUUACAUUGCCAUUGAUGGAUAAAAUAAUUCCCCAUCGUGGCAAGCCCCUAAUCCCACAGGACAAGGCUAUUAGAGGAUAAUCCUAACCUAAAUUACAACCCUGUGUUUGAGCACUGGUUCUCCUAAUGCUCCAGGAUACAAUUACAGAACAAGGCCUGGAAACCACAGCCUCUGUUCUGCCUUAUUGCUUAAUUGUUUAAUGAAGUAUUCACUUCAUCUAAGUGAGUGCUUUGUAAUUUUGUACUUGCAUGCAGCUGGCAGAGGCAAAGAACUGGCUUUUUUACAGAAUAACUUGUUCUUUUGGUGGAAGAAGGUACCAUUAAAAAUAUCAGGCUUCAAUAGUAAAUAAUUUGAGAGAUCUCUCCAUAAAAAAGAAAUCUCAUCCUUGAAAGUGAGGAAUGAAAGCACAUUUUUUACUACUGGGUUUUUGUCCCCUUUCCUCCUUGAUGCUGUGCAAAGACAGAUGGAAGAGGCAGUGGGACAACCAGUACCAGAUCUUGCACUAACAGGUCUGUUCUGAGGUCAGGACACUGCUACCAUGUGCAUCUUUCAAACUAGUGUGGGAGAGGCCUUCCUAAAUUAAGAAGAAGUAAUGAAAUAAGCCUUAUAUCAAGAUUAAAGUAAUACUCAGGCCCUUAAAUAAGCGCAAAGUCACUAUAUAUAAGAGCAAAUAACAUGAAAAAAAAUAAUCUAAAAAGUUCUAUGGAUUUCAAGUCUCCCUGUUCUACCCUUGAAAAUAUUCCUGUGCUCAGAACAAUAUGUCAGGCUCCAGCUCCUGAGUAGUUCCCUAAUGAAGGCCAAGUGCCCUUGAACAUCCGUUCUCUACCUGAGCUGAGGGUAGGCAGCUCUGUGCCUCCCAUCAUUUUGGGUGUUUUGAUCUUUUGAAGCUUUUCUUCCUCUUUAAAACUAUAGAAGGAGCUUAGACAAUUAGCUCUGGGCUUGGAUAUCAUUUUUGGCUGGAGACCUGACCUGCAGACACAGGAUAUCAAGAGAUUUGUAACAGGGAAGUGAGAGAGAAUGACCCUGGGAACAAGAGAAAAUAAUUUGAACGUUGAAGGCUUUUUUGAGUUCCAGCCAUGCAGGGUCCCUUGAAAAUGCUAAAUACCAAAGAAGCAUUGGAGUCUGAAAUACCAAGUUUUUCUUCAAUAGCUAUGAAAGUAUUUUAUGAAUAACAUCGGCACAGUCAGAAGAGGUGAGGUCACCUGUGCAUUAAUCCCUUACUCUCUUGCCAGCCCGACCUAUUGUGAGGUACUGCCUAUGGAUUCUUUCCUAGUUCUCGCAGGGAAGGGUGCUGCUUCACUGGGAGCACAUUGCUAGAGGGGCACAGUAAUCAGAGGGGUGGUUCACAGUGGGUUCACUUGGUGUUUUCCAUGCAGACUCUGCUGUAGGUGCUGUUCUUGUCGAGUCCAUGGAAUGCAGAUGAUGAGAAGGAAACCAUCACACAGUUGCAUUUGAGAACCACCACUUUAACUUUGUUGAAGAAAAGAUUCAAAACAGGCUGCAAAAGUAUUUACUUAGCACAUUUUUGGCUUAAAAUACUGGUCUUGCCAGGUCUGUUGUUACUGCUACUUAUCACUCUGAGGUAACAUUUGCUUUUUGUUCCAAAAUUUCAGUUGUUUGCUUUUAGGGAUGUUACUGGUGGCUCAAUAUCUAUGGCUACAGAUGGCCAUAGUGUGAAACGGCUCCUGCCUGAACCAGCUUCUCCCAGUCAGGGAAAGCUCAAGGAGGAAAACAAAGCCAAGAGCCCAAGUCACCCCUGUCCUGGCUCUGUGGGAGCACACCUGCACAGCAGGGCUGAGGCUGUCUGGUGGAAAAGGUGUUGAAUCACGUCUGACUGGUCUGAGUGGAGCCUUUGUAGUGAAAACUGGCAAAGCAGUUAAAUUACAUCUUCCACUCAGUCCACUGGUGAGAGUUGUCCAGAAGCUGCUGGGCACAAAGCUGGCAUAACCUGUACCCCAUUGCCAUGGGCUCCUGCAGGUUUGGCCUGGGCUGGACCCCACUUGCCACCUUAUCGGUGUUCUUGUUGACAUGGCUGGGUUCACUGCAUUCCAGAGCUGGUCGUUUAAUGUUGUUUGUUUGAAUUCCUCUGCUGCUCUGGCACAGCCCAUGGUUCUUUUGGUGUUUGAAGUUGUAGAUUUCCCUAACUUUGGUGGCUUUGAACAGUGAAUGUGCUCCCCAUCCUACUUCUACCGUAUGGGAAUCUGUGGAGAAUUGGCUGAUAAUCAGAGUUCCCUGAAAUUCCAGUUAUUAAAAGUAUCAUGAUAGGUGGUCAUGUUCUCUUUUCAUGAAGCCAGGAGUAAAACUGAGGCCCAGACAGACACCUGGCAUUUGUAUAUGUUCAUAUUUACAACAGUGUAAUGAUUACCUUCACACUUGCAGAGUGCUCACCUAGCCUGAGGGAUGGAAGGACUCAGUAGGAUAUCUGCAUUACAAUUGGAAUAUUGUUCCUGCUGGGAGAGGACAUGAGAGAAUAUUUUUAUUUUUCAACAGCUCCUGCUGUGCCUUGGCAUUUACAGUCCAUCUGGACUAACACCUUCAGCAGUUUUUUCUCUGCCCAGCAGACUCUGGGCCAGCAGUGACAAGAACAUUAAUUCAUCACCAAGCUGUGAGUAGCACAGUUGAUUAAUUCUUAUCAUUCAUUGCUUUUAGUGUGUCACACAGAACUUUAAGACUUCCUUUACAGCUGGGGAAACUGAGUCACAGAGAGAAGAGAUGGUGCCACUUAGUUCACCUGUUAAGGUGGAAGAAGAAGCACUGAGAUUCUGGCUGGCUGAGCUUGGGCUGGGAGGUUCAUCCUCUGGAUCCUAUUCCUGAAAGCUUGAGGCACGGAGAAGCAUCACUCACUGUCUGCACUGAGAAUGAUUUUGGGCCAGGAAGUGAAGAAGACCAAAGCAGGAGGACAGGUCUGGAAUAAAACCUGAGUGCCACUUUGGAAGACCUCACACCUUCUUUGUCAUCAGCAGCUGAGGCAGCCUGAAUGUCAAC
Molecule: long non-coding RNA, 9675 nt
Organism: Parus major (Great Tit)
Lineage: Eukaryota; Metazoa; Chordata; Aves; Passeriformes; Paridae
Exons: 4
Source: RefSeq, a predicted model, not a curated record